Molecule: ribosomal RNA, 492 nt
Filed under: uncultured bacterium
Lineage: Bacteria
Description: partial 16S ribosomal RNA
Rfam family: Bacterial small subunit ribosomal RNA
Source: RNAcentral
AGUGAACGCUGGCGGUAGGCCUAACACAUGCCAGUCGAACGGCAGCACAGUAAGAGCUUGCUCUUACGGGUGGCGGGUGGCGGACGGGUGAGGAAUACAUCGGAAUCUACUUUUUCGUGGGGGAUAACGUAGGGAAACUUACGCUAAUACCGCAUACGACCUACGGGUGAAAGCAGGGGAUCUUCGGACCUUUCGCGGUUGAAUGAGCCGAUGUCGGAUUAGCUAGUUGGCGGGGUAAAGGCCCACCAAGGCGACGAUCCGUAGCUGGUCUGAGAGGCUGAUCAGCCACACUGGAACUGAGACACGGUCCAGACUCCUACGGGAGGCCGCAGUGGGGAAUAGUGGACAAUGGGCGCAAGCCUGAUCCAGCCAUACCGCGUGGGUGAAGAAGGCCCUCGGGUUGUAAAGCCCUUUUGUUGGGAAAGAAAAGCAGCAGGUUAAUACCCCGCUGUUCUGACGGUACCCAAAGAAUAAGCACCGGCUAACUUCGUG